RNAcentral lists this ribosomal RNA (115 nucleotides) under Vigna angularis (adzuki bean). Lineage: Eukaryota; Viridiplantae; Streptophyta; Magnoliopsida; Fabales; Fabaceae. The record is from RNAcentral.
GACUCCAACAAACUGUUAUCAUGGCGGAUCCAAUCAGAACUCCGCACUUAAGCGUUCUUGGGCGAGAGUAGUACUCGGAUGGGUGACCUCCUGGGAAGUCCUCGUGUUGCACCUC